GACGAACGCUGGCGGCGUGCUUAACACAUGCAAGUCGAACGGAAAGGCCCUGCUCUUGUGGGGUGCUCGAGUGGCGAACGGGUGAGUAACACGUGAGUAACCUGCCCUUGACUUUGGGAUAACUCCAGGAAACUGGGGCUAAUACCGGAUAGGAGCUCCUGCUGCAUGGUGGGGGAUGGAAAGUUUCGGCGGUUGGGGAUGGACUCGCGGCUUAUCAGCUUGUUGGUGGGGUAGUGGAUUACCAAGGCUUUGACGGAUAGCCGGCCUGAGAGGGUGACCGGCGACAUUGGUACUGAGAUACGGCCCAGUAUGCAACGGGAGGCAGCAGUGGGGAGUAUGACACAAUAGGCGGAAGCCUGAUAUAGCAGCGCCGCGAGCGGGAAGACGGCCUACGGGUUAUAAACCGCUUUGGCCUGUAACGAGGCGUGAGUGACGGUACUGAAUAAAGAAGCACCGGCUAACUACGUG
Molecule: ribosomal RNA, 468 nt
Filed under: uncultured bacterium
Lineage: Bacteria
Description: partial 16S ribosomal RNA
Rfam family: Bacterial small subunit ribosomal RNA
Source: RNAcentral